This 30-nucleotide non-coding RNA is filed under the name Mus musculus (house mouse). The record is from RNAcentral. Lineage: Eukaryota; Metazoa; Chordata; Mammalia; Rodentia; Muridae.
UACGCGUGCGUUCCCAGAAGGAGACGAGCC